Molecule: transfer RNA, 67 nt
Filed under: Cacatua goffiniana (Tanimbar cockatoo)
Lineage: Eukaryota; Metazoa; Chordata; Aves; Psittaciformes; Cacatuidae
Description: tRNA-Ser
Source: RNAcentral
AAGAAAGAAGCAUAAGUGGUUUAAUAUGCGGUUGGCUUGAAACCAAUGAGUGAGGGUUCGAUUCCUU